GUUACCUACGGGGCGCAGCAGUGGGGGAUAUUGCACAAUGGGGGCAACCCUGAUGCAGCGACGCCGCGUGAGCGAUGGAGUACUUCGGUAUGUAAAGCUCUGUCAGCAGGGAAGAGAAUGACGGUACCUGACCAAGAAGCCCCGGCUAAAUACGUGCCAGCAGCCGCGGUAAUACGUAUGGGGCAAGCGUUAUCCGGAUUUAUUGGGUUUAAAGGGUGCGUAGGCGGUCUGUUAAGUCAGCGGUAAAAUUGCGGGGCUCAACCCCGUCGAGCCGUUGAAACUGGCAGACUUGAGUUGGCGAGAAG
Molecule: ribosomal RNA, 305 nt
Filed under: uncultured bacterium
Lineage: Bacteria
Description: bacterial SSU rRNA
Rfam family: Bacterial small subunit ribosomal RNA
Source: RNAcentral